AGUAUAAAGAAGCAGCUACACAAAUGGAGGCAAGAAUGAUUUAAUCAGCUGAUGAACCUGCGGUGAACCAACUAUGCAGUCAUUUUGAAGCCUAGAUGUGCCCAAGAUAACAGAGCUGAGAGAGAAAUUCAAGAACAUCAAGAAAAAUCCUCAAAUCUCAUGUAUUUUCAGAUUUUUCAACGACACCAGGCUAGACCAUAUAGAUUUAUUAUUUUUCUUGCUUUGUGGUUUUGAAGCAAAGUUGGUCGUCAUACCAUGAUGUUUAUUUGGUCAUUGUAAAUAUAAUUCAUGUGCUAUAGACGAAAUCACUUCGUUUGUGUAGAAGGGAAGCUAUAUUGUAUUGAGACUUUGAAAUUAAACAAUGAAAGUGUUGUGAUACUCUAAUUUAGUAAACCGGUUGUUAUAAUA
This is a long non-coding RNA of Sorghum bicolor (sorghum), 408 nucleotides long. RefSeq lists it as uncharacterized. The record is from RefSeq and is a predicted model, not a curated record. The transcript has 2 exons. Lineage: Eukaryota; Viridiplantae; Streptophyta; Magnoliopsida; Poales; Poaceae.